UGGCGGACGGGUGAGUAAUGUCUGGGAAACUGCCUGAUGGAGGGGGAUAACUACUGGAAACGGUAGCUAAUACCGCAUAACGUCGCAAGACCAAAGAGGGGGACCCUCGGGCCUCUUGCCAUCGGAUGUGCCCAGAUGGGAUUAGCUUGUUGGUGGGGUAACGGCUCACCAAGGCGACGAUCCCUAGCUGGUCUGAGAGGAUGCCAGCCACACUGGAACUGAGACACGGUCCAGACUCCUACGGGAGGCAGCAUG
This 255-nucleotide ribosomal RNA is filed under the name uncultured bacterium. RNAcentral describes it as "partial 16S ribosomal RNA". It matches the Rfam family "Bacterial small subunit ribosomal RNA", at positions 96 to 353 of the family's 1533-position model. The record is from RNAcentral.